This 489-nucleotide ribosomal RNA is filed under the name uncultured bacterium. RNAcentral's name for it is "bacterial SSU rRNA". It matches the Rfam family "Bacterial small subunit ribosomal RNA", at positions 44 to 535 of the family's 1533-position model. The record is from RNAcentral.
GGGGCUUACCAUGCAGUCGACGGAAGGCCCUGCUUUUGUGGGGUGCUCGAGUGGCGAACGGGUGAGUAACACGUGAGUAACCUGCCCUUGACUUUGGGAUAACUUCAGGAAACUGGGGCUAAUACCGGAUAGGAGCUCCUGCUGCAUGGUGGGGGUUGGAAAGUUUCGGCGGUUGGGGAUGGACUCGCGGCUUAUCAGCUUGUUGGUGGGGUAGUGGCUUACCAAGGCUUUGACGGGUAGCCGGCCUGAGAGGGUGACCGGCCACAUUGGGACUGAGAUACGGCCCAGACUCCUACGGGAGGCAGCAGUGGGGAAUAUUGCACAAUGGGCGGAAGCCUGAUGCAGCAACGCCGCGUGCGGGAUGACGGCCUUCGGGUUGUAAACAGCUUUCGCCUGUGACGAAGCGUGAGUGACGGUAAUGGGUAAAGAAGCACCGGCUAACUACGUGCCAGCACCCCCGGGUAAUAAAACUGCGGCCCGGUAACCGCU